Molecule: long non-coding RNA, 1286 nt
Organism: Schistocerca nitens (vagrant locust)
Lineage: Eukaryota; Metazoa; Arthropoda; Insecta; Orthoptera; Acrididae
Exons: 2
Source: RefSeq, a predicted model, not a curated record
UGCUACUGUUAAAGUAAAAUGGGCACCUCCGGGCAGUACAUCAACAUUUUUAAUAAAUCACUGUCAGUUUUGGAAGUACCAUUUUUGAUUGGUUUACAGCUAAUAUACCAGCUGGCUAUAAUUAAACUUUCCCCAUUUCACAUGUUAUAACAUGGAAACUAAUUACCAUACAAGUACCAAAUUUGGUAGCAUUAUGUCCAGAGCAUGAAGUGCAUGAUUUCCUUGAAUUACAGUGCCACCAUCUAGUUCCAACUAUGGACACCAGGUGCCAUAAUCAGUCAUCAUGAGUCAUACUCUCACACACCUGACCAGUCGCAGUGCACUUGUUUACGCAUCAACAUGAGCUUGGACAAAAGGAGCAGGGCAUUAUUGGUGAAGGUCUAUUUCUAAAACAACAGUAAUGGUGUAGCUGCACUUUGAGAAUAUUGCUGGCUGAAAUGAUUAUUGAAGGGUUCUCUUUCUCUACCUACUGCGUAGAGCAUGAUCAAGAAGUUCAAAUCAACUGGAGAAUUGGGUGUCACUCUGGGAAGAGGCCGACAACUGAUUGCACAACAGGUGGUUGAUGAAAUCGCUAUUGCUAUGGCAGACUAUGCUGUGUGCAAUUCCUGAUUGUCAGGCAGUGUGCAUGCUGUGUCAUGAUAGUUGAACAUCCUGUAGUCCACUGUAUGGAAGGGGUUUUCAACUUUUCUUAAAUAGUAUCUGUACAAGACCCAUAUUAUACAGCAGCUUUCACCACAGGAUGCACAACGAUGUGUUGACAUUGCUCUCCACUUUCUCACGAAGAUUGAAGUUGAUGAGGGAUGGACGAAGUUCAUUUUUCUCUGGCAGGUUGGUGCUCAAGGACCAAAGUGUUACUACAAUGUGCUUCGCCAGCAUGUCAUACCUGUCCUACGGGAAAGAGACCCAUUGAACUCAACAGUUUUCAUGCAAAGUGGGGCACCACUGCACAUCGCUUGUGAAGUUCACCUUCUUCUCUGAAACACAUUUGGAAAUGAUCAAAUUAUCAGCCAAUUGUUUCGAAAUGCUUGGGCAGCAUGAUCAUCUGAUCUCACUCCCUGUCAUUUCUGGUUAUGGGGCUACCUGAAGGACAGGGUUUACCAUUGGAACAUUCACACAUGUGCUGAUCUGGAGUGCAGUUCAGAAUAUCAAGAGAGGUAACCAUCAUACCUAUGGACAUGCUUUGUUCUUCUCUACAGAAUGCAAUCCUACACUUUCAGACUCUUCUGGUCACUGAUAGGCGCCGUAUUGAUGUACUGUAGCAGCACAUUAAAAGUGUUUCAACUGAA